This 774-nucleotide ribosomal RNA is filed under the name uncultured Neocallimastigales. RNAcentral's name for it is "partial large subunit ribosomal RNA". It matches the Rfam family "Eukaryotic large subunit ribosomal RNA", at positions 22 to 628 of the family's 3401-position model. Lineage: Eukaryota; Fungi; Neocallimastigomycota; Neocallimastigomycetes; Neocallimastigales. The record is from RNAcentral.
GUACACGCUGUGACUAGCAUAUCAAUAAGCGGAGGAAAAGAAACUAACAAGGAUUCCCCUAGUAACGGCGAGUGAAGCGGGAAGAGCUCAAAUUUGAAAUCUUAAAGGGUUUCCCUUUACGAAUUGUAGUUUAAAGAAGUGUUUUCUGUUGAGGUUUUGGUAAAAGUUCUUUGGAAUAGGACAUCAUAGAGGGUGAGAAUCCCGUAUUUGACCUUUACUUUCAACUUUGUGAUACACUUUCAAAGAGUCGGAUUGUUUGGGAAUGCAGUCCAAAAUGGGUGGUAAAUUUCGUCUAAAGCUAAAUAUUGGCGAGAGACCGAUAGCGAACAAGUACCGUGAGGGAAAGAUGAAAAGAACUUUGAAAAGAGAGUUAAACAGUACGUGAAAUUGUCAAAAGGGAAGCGUUUGACACCAGUGUUGUUUUUCUGAAAAUCAAUUAAAGAACUGUUUAUGCUAAGUUGUUUAGACUUUAUCAGCUAACUGUUUAGUUUUGAGCUUUUCUUUAAUGCACUUUUCAGUUAACAAGUCAACAUCAAUUUCUUUUGCUGUAAAAAAGCUUGAGGAAGGUGGCUUGAGAUUCGUCUUAGGUGUUUAUAGCCUCUUGCCUAUGCAGUCGGAGAGAUUGAGGUCUGCAGCGUAGAUCCUUCGGGGCUAAAUGCAUUUGUGCUAAGUUAUAGCAUUUUAUAGACAACUUGUUGACUAUGAUUUGUCUUGUAGCUUACUCGCUUAUGUUAUUUUACCUACGCUUAGGAUGUUGAGUCGUAGAGCACGCAG